UUUAAGUGCUUCCGCGUCCAAUUUUAAUCGUCCGUCUUAUUUAAAAUUUUUUUUAUAAUUAGUAUUUUUGUUAUUAUGAGAUGAUAAAAUAUGAAUAGUACUUUACUUAUGACUUAUAUUUUUAAUUUUUUUCAAAAAUUUUUUAAAUAAGAUGGACAAACGAUCAAAAUUAGAUACGGAAAAACAUAGUUGCAUUUAAA
Molecule: non-coding RNA, 200 nt
Organism: Oryza nivara
Lineage: Eukaryota; Viridiplantae; Streptophyta; Magnoliopsida; Poales; Poaceae
Source: Rfam